This 480-nucleotide ribosomal RNA is filed under the name Triticum aestivum (bread wheat). RNAcentral's name for it is "partial small subunit ribosomal RNA". Lineage: Eukaryota; Viridiplantae; Streptophyta; Magnoliopsida; Poales; Poaceae. The record is from RNAcentral.
AUGGAGGGCGAGGCGCCGCAGGCGCACCAGCCGCCGCUGAACGGCGUCAGCCUCGACCUCCGCCUCGACACGAUGACGCACCACCACGGCACCUGGCGCCCGGCGUCCCUUUCUCCCGCGGACUACCAGCAGCAGCACGACGGCAAGGAGGCCUUGUCGUGCAACUACUGCCAGCGCAAGUUCUUGAGCUCGCAGGCGCUCGGCGGCCACCAGAACGCCCACAAGCUCGAGCGCACCCUCGCCAAGCGCGGCCGCGACGCUGACGCAGGCAAAAGCGCCGCCGCCACGCCUUCCUCGCCGGCCGACGCCCACAGCUGGCUCCACGGCGACGGUGAUCUUUGGGCUUACUCUGCUGCUUCACCCGCGGCGAGCAUGAGCAUGGGCAUGGGCAUGGGCGGCUGGGCUGGCACUCGCCGCACCACGACGGCCGGCGGGGAGGCCACGGCGGAGAUGGACUUGUCGCUCAAGCUGUGCCUCUGA